AAAAGGUCAUUCUCAUUACCUCUUUCCAUUCUGGGUGUGGUUACCCAUGAUUCCUAGCAUGCCUCCACAUUGUAGGGCAGAAAACGUAAACAUAGAGUGAGCUCUGAAGCAUCAGUUAUUGGUAAAGAGAGAUGAUGGUUAAAUCAUGCGUGGUGUUCGGGUGUACAAACCAUGGAAAUGUAGGCAAGAGGUCACUCAGAUUUUUUGGCAUCACAACAGUCAUU
This is a long non-coding RNA of Thalassophryne amazonica, 224 nucleotides long. RefSeq lists it as uncharacterized. The transcript has 3 exons. The record is from RefSeq and is a predicted model, not a curated record. NCBI's taxonomy places the organism in Eukaryota, Metazoa, Chordata, Actinopteri, Batrachoidiformes, Batrachoididae.